AUACCACAAACCACAAAUGAACCCGAACAUAGUACUGAGCGACUCCAUAAUAAUAUGGAAUACACUAUGCUGGAACUAGUAACAAGAAUUUACUAUUCUCCAAAAUGUAAGCAUAAGCCAGAAAGGAUAGACCACUGGCCAUUAACGAAAAUGAAAACACUACAGCAACAUUACAAGAAAACUCUGUACCCCCCCCCAUCGUUAACCUAACACAAGGACAUUUCUGGAAGAUUAAAAGAGAGAGAAGGAACUCGGCAAAUUUCAGCUCCGCCUGUUUACCAAAAACAUCGCCUCUUGCUAAUACAUAAGAGGUCCAGCCUGCCCAGUGACAUAUUCAACGGCCGCGGUAUUCUGACCGCGCGAAGGUAGCAUAAUCACUUGUUCUUUAAAUGAGGACUAGUAUCAAUGGCACCACGAGAACUGCACUGUCUCCCCCCUCCAAUCAGUGAAACUGAUCUCCCCGUGAAGAAGCGGGGAUAUAAUUAUAAGACGAGAAGACCCCAUGGAGCUUUAAACCCUACAGCAACUCUGCCGCAUAAUCCUAUAUACCCACCAGAGUAGUGCAUGAUAGUUUUAGGUUGGGGUGACCGCGGAGUAAAAUCUAUCCUCCGCAACAAAAAGAACUAAGCCUUUAUCCAAGAGACACCUCUCUAAGAAUUAGCAUACUAAUGUACAAUGACCCGAUAAUCGAUCAACGGACCAAGUUACCCUGGGGAUAACAGCGCAAUCUACUUCAAGAGCCCAUAUCGACAAGUAGGCUUACGACCUCGAUGUKGAUCAGGGUCUCCCAGUGGCGCAGCCGCUACUAAAGGUU
Molecule: ribosomal RNA, 814 nt
Filed under: Rhacophorus pardalis
Lineage: Eukaryota; Metazoa; Chordata; Amphibia; Anura; Rhacophoridae
Description: partial 16S ribosomal RNA
Rfam family: Bacterial large subunit ribosomal RNA
Source: RNAcentral